GACGAACGCUGGCGGCGUGCUUAACACAUGCAAGUCGAGCGGUAAGGCCCUUUCGGGGGUACACGAGCGGCGAACGGGUGAGUAACACGUGGGUGACCUGCCCUUAGCUCUGGGAUAAGCCUGGGAAACUGGGUCUAAUACCGGAUAUGACUCCAUGACGCAUGUUGUGGGGUGGAAAGCCUUGUGCGGCUAGGGAUGGGCCCGCGGCCUAUCAGCUUGUUGGUGGGGUGAUGGCCUACCAGGCGACGACGGGUAGCCGGCCUGAGAGGGCGACCGGCCACACUGGGACUGAGACACGGCCCAGACUCCUACGGGAGGCAGCAGUGGGGAAUCUUGCGCAAUGGGCGAAAGCCUGACGCAGCGACGCCGCGUGAGGGAUGACGGCCUGGUU
Molecule: ribosomal RNA, 391 nt
Filed under: uncultured bacterium
Lineage: Bacteria
Description: bacterial SSU rRNA
Rfam family: Bacterial small subunit ribosomal RNA
Source: RNAcentral